CCCAGCCCCAGCAUGCACUGUUGCCCGGAGCCCACCUCAACAAAACCUGAUAGUGAGGCUAGUGAGCCCACAGAAGGCACUCUCUUCGACAGCCUACAGGAGAUGGAUCUGUUGGAGGAGAUCAUGGCAGAGCUGCAGAAUAAGUGCCACCUUGAAGACAAACCCAGCUGAGCCCUACUCUUAGCCCAGACUCGUAGGGUGCCACAGCUCUCCCUGCAGUCAUUACCCUUCCCCUUCCCAGGACUGACCCCAUCCCUCAGUGUCUACCUCAAAGCAAAGAAAGUGGUAAAGUCCCCCA
Peromyscus eremicus (cactus mouse) is the source of this 298-nucleotide long non-coding RNA. RefSeq lists it as uncharacterized. Lineage: Eukaryota; Metazoa; Chordata; Mammalia; Rodentia; Cricetidae. The record is from RefSeq and is a predicted model, not a curated record. The transcript has 3 exons.